CGGCGGGCGGGGCGUGGCGCCUUUCCCGUGGUGCCGCGGGAGCGGCGGCCGCAGCGGCCGCGAUUUCGUCCGGGUCCCGCAAGUACCGGGACGGCGGGGCCGGGCGGCGGCCGGGGGACGCGGGAGCGGCCGCGGGGUCGGAGCGCGCCGGGGGGAGGGUGGAGGCGGAGGGACUGAGCCGAGGGGCCCGUACGGGCGGGUGCGGGGCCUCGGCCCGGCCUCUCCGCCGCCUUUGCCGCGGGCCCGGUUCAUUGUCCUUAUUCCCCUCAUCCAUGCCUUUUUCCCCUCGUUCUCCCCCGCUCUCCUCCAGGCUCACUGGAAGGUCCGGAAGUGCCGCCCCCGGGAGCCGUCGGCGCCAGGUGAGAAGUGACUCCUGUGGAACAUGACUGAGAGCAAGGCUGAGGCUGUUCUCAGAGCCUGAUGUAAUUACUGAUGGGUUCUUCGUUAGCUGCCCAGCACUGCCCCAAUUGCCUCUGUGCUGCAAGGAACAGGAUGCACAGACAGCACUGCAGCUCUUCGUAAGUUUAGAGCAAACCUCAUCAGACCAGUGGGAAAACCUACAGGUAAGUGAAAUAGGUGGAACAUUAGGCAUGAGAGUAACUAAGGAGUGUGAAGUAAGCAGAGUACAUGAGUAUCUGAGGGAUGCAAAGGCAGGAAAUAGGAUUCUUGUUUAAGGCUGGUAAAAGUUCCAGCUGACUGUCACACAGAGGUGCAAUGAAAUAUGUGCAACUCCUGUGCAGAGAGCUGAAGUGGGUGCAGCGCCAAGGAGCAGCUCUGGUGAGUUGUCCUUUGACAGGAACAGACUUAUUUAAACCUGGGUUCAGCUGAGUCAAGGGAAAUCCUUCCCUUAAUCUCAGGGCAGGAUUUCAUUUUGAACUCAGAAUAAUUCACAGAAUCUUAAGUAUCCCAAGCUGGAAAGGACCCCUAUGGAUUAUUGAGUCCUGCUCCUGGGUUUGCACAGGAGACUCCAAGAAUCCCAGCCUGUGCCUGAGGGUGUUGGCCAAACACUUGAUUGAAAUAAAGUGUACAAUUAACUCA
Molecule: long non-coding RNA, 1038 nt
Filed under: Chloebia gouldiae (Gouldian finch)
Lineage: Eukaryota; Metazoa; Chordata; Aves; Passeriformes; Passeridae
Description: Erythrura gouldiae (Gouldian finch) lncRNA (ENSEGOG00005010061.1)
Source: RNAcentral